Molecule: long non-coding RNA, 436 nt
Filed under: Populus trichocarpa (black cottonwood)
Lineage: Eukaryota; Viridiplantae; Streptophyta; Magnoliopsida; Malpighiales; Salicaceae
Description: long non-coding RNA (PTRI_LNC001100)
Source: RNAcentral
CUACAUUUCCAAAAAACAAAAAUCUAACCAAAAUGGACAUCAUUUACCAUAGCAGGAGAAAUGUUCCCAUCAAGCAGUUGAUUAUCAAGAGCACGCUAGGCCCUCGGGUACCCUGUACCACCAACAAGCAGUAUUCGGCCAAGUCCGGCUCUUGAUCCCCAGGUUGAGCUAGCCCCCCACCCAUAAAUGUUCAAAAUAUUCACAUCAAAAAAUGAAACACAGAAUAAUAAUAGCAUAGCUCUCUUAACAAAUCUUAAACAAGUAAGGUAAUAGUUUUACAAUUUUUUUAAAAAUGGAGGUUUGUACUUGCAGCAAGAGAAGAACACGGCCUGAAAUGGUUUUCUUCCAAAAAGCAUACAAGAUGAGAAGGGAAAAGCACCAUCUUUCUACUAAUAAACUACAAGGAUAGGCGAUGACAUGCCAAGACUUCUCAGCU